GGGUUAGUGGCGGACGGGUGAGUAACGCGUGAGAAUCUGCCCUCAGGAGGGGGAUAACAGCUGGAAACGGCUGCUAAUACCCCAUAUGCCGCGAGGUGAAAUGAAUUUCGCCUGAGGAUGAGCUCGCGUCUGAUUAGCUAGUUGGUGUAGGUAAAGGCUCACCAAGGCAUCGAUCAGUAGCUGGUCUGAGUGGAUGAUCAGCCACACUGGGACUGAGACACGGCCCAGACUCCUACGGGAGGCAGCAGUGGGGAAUUUUCCGCAAUGGGCGAAAGCCUGACGGAGCAACGCCGCGUGAGGGAUGAAGGCCUCUGGGCUGUAAACCUCUUUUAUCAAGGAAGAAGAUCUGACGGUACUUGAUGAAUAAGCCACGGCUAAUUCCGUGCCAGCAGCCGCGGUAAUACGGGAGUGGCAAGCGUUAUCCGGAAUUAUUGGGCGUAAAGCGUCCGCAGGCGGCCCAGAAAGUCUGCUGUUAAAACGUGGAGCUUAACUCCAUCAUGGCAGUGGAAACUGUUGGGCUUGAGUGUGGUAGGGGCAGAGGGAAUUCCCGGUGUAGCGGUGAAAUGCGUAGAUAUCGGGAAGAACACCAGUGGCGAAGGCGCUCUGCUGGGCCAUCACUGACGCUCAUGGACGAAAGCCAGGGGAGCGAAAGGGAUUAGAUACCCCUGUAGUCCUGGCCGUAAACGAUGAACACUAGGUGUCGGGGGAAUCGACCCCCUCGGUGUCGUAGCCAACGCGUUAAGUGUUCCGCCUGGGGAGUACGCACGCAAGUGUGGAACUCAAAGGAAUUGACGGGGGCCCGCACAAGCGGUGGAGUAUGUGGUUUAAUUCGAUGCAACGCGAAGAACCUUACCAGGGUUUGACAUCCUGCGAACCUCUUGGAAACGAGAGGGUGCCUUCGGGAGCGCAGUGACAGGUGGUGCAUGGCCUGUCGUCAGCUCGUGUCGUGA
This 950-nucleotide ribosomal RNA is filed under the name uncultured marine bacterium. Its description in RNAcentral is "bacterial SSU rRNA". It matches the Rfam family "Bacterial small subunit ribosomal RNA", at positions 89 to 1070 of the family's 1533-position model. The record is from RNAcentral.